UUGAAGAGAUUUAUCUUUUGAUCGAAGGCGUUAUGGUACUCAUCUAGAAUCCUUUGAAAGGUCAUUAUAUUUCGAGAAGAAGCCCAUCCUACCAGGAGACAGUCAUUUGCAAAAAGUAAGUAUGAGAUCAGUUAGGCCCCUAGGGCUGGCAUGUAAGGGUCCAACACCUAUCUUAUGGUCACAGCUCACAUAGCACAAGAAAGGG
RNAcentral lists this long non-coding RNA (205 nucleotides) under Elaeis guineensis (African oil palm). RNAcentral describes it as "long non-coding RNA (EGUI_LNC030964)". The record is from RNAcentral. Lineage: Eukaryota; Viridiplantae; Streptophyta; Magnoliopsida; Arecales; Arecaceae.